This 651-nucleotide long non-coding RNA is filed under the name Bos taurus (domestic cattle). RNAcentral describes it as "long non-coding RNA NONBTAT004043". The record is from RNAcentral. Lineage: Eukaryota; Metazoa; Chordata; Mammalia; Artiodactyla; Bovidae.
AUAUAUUGAAUCUUAAGCUCUUUUUGGCCAAAGAUUGGGUCCCAGAAAGACCAGUCUUGCACACCUGUGCUUGCAAGGCUCUUGCAAGCACAGGCUGUCACUGAGGGGGGAGCUCGGCCUCACCUGGCCCCGUCCUGCAUUUGCACCCACGCACGGCCCCAGGUAAGUGUUCUCGACAGAUCCUGUUGAGCGAUAUUAAGUCACUUCCAACCAAUAUUGUAUCCAACUUUCAUUAGCCUCAGCUUCCAAAAUGUGUCUCCAUGUCAAAGUGAUACACACCCAGUAUUUUGAUACCAAUUCAGAAAAUUCCAUGAUUGAGAAUGCAUAGCCUAUCCCAUCUGAUUUCUGGAAACUCUUAAGACUGGAUGUAUGAAAUUUGAUGAAUGUACCAUUGAGCUUUCAACCAAUUAACAGGAAGUCUCUUGUUAUAGAUCUUUGUGAUAACGGGGGUCACAAUGAGUAGGGUUUUAUGGAUUCUUUCUCAGCAUUUUCUCUGAGAAAUCAUGGAAAAGUUAGUGACGUUGAUAUGAAUUAGUUUUGCUUGAGACUGAGCUUCAUGUCCUGAGCUGGGAGGGGGGCGGGUCACUGCACACAUCUCACGGGUCCACAGUGAAGCGGUGUAUUUUAUGUAACCAAUUAGACUUAUGUGAA